AAACAUUGGGUGACAAUAGCUCGUGAGAGGGGGGAGAGGAGAAUCUCGAUUGCCAGAAGAGGUGCUCCGUGCGGUGGAGGAAGAAGUGGGGAUAAGUUCUGGGCUAGAUGGGGGCCAGCCGCCGCGGUUUCACCGGCAGCCCGAGGGGGGAGCAAAAAGGGGGGCUAACGGGUCCGAGCCGGUUUGAUCAGUCUUUUGGGAGAUCUGACAGCUUAACUGUUAGGCUUCCAAAGGAUUUUUUCCCCACUUGGAACCGGGAGAGGAAAGAGGUACUACAGGGGAAGGAGGGAAAUCUUGUAAUCCCUGGGGGACCACCAGGGGCGAAGGCGUCUUACCAGAACGGGUCCGACGGUGAGGGACGUUUUUUUGGGGGCACGAACCGGAUUAGAUACCCGGGAAGUCCGGCGGGAGACAAUGCUCGCCAGGGGUCAGGAAGGGGGCGACCGUUUCUGGGGCCGAAGGGAAGCCGUGAAGCGAGCCACCUGGAAAGUACGGCCGCAAGGUGAAACUUAAAGGAAUUGGCGGGGAAAGGGCGAAUCCUUUAACCCUGCGGACUAGUCCCUUUAGGGAGGGUAAAUUCUGAGCUUGGCGAAUCUUGGCCAAGGUGUUUCCGGAA
This 616-nucleotide ribosomal RNA is filed under the name uncultured Methanosarcina sp. RNAcentral describes it as "partial 16S ribosomal RNA". It matches the Rfam family "Archaeal small subunit ribosomal RNA", at positions 343 to 966 of the family's 1478-position model. Lineage: Archaea; Methanobacteriati; Methanobacteriota; Methanomicrobia; Methanosarcinales; Methanosarcinaceae. The record is from RNAcentral.